UGGGGAAUAUUGCACAAUGGGGGAAACCCUGAUGCAGCAACGCCGCGUGAGUGAUGACGGCCUUCGGGCUGUAAAGCUCUGUCUUCAGGGACGAUAAUGACGGUACCUGAGGAGGAAGCCACGGCUAACUACGUGCCAGCAGCCGCGGUAAUACGUAGGUGGCAAGCGUUGUCCGGAUUUACUGGGCGUAAAGGGAGCGUAGGCGGACUUUUAAGUGAGAUGUGAAAUACCCGGGCUCAACCUGGGUGCUGCAUUUCAAACUGGAAGUCUAGAGUGCAGGAGAGGAGAGUGGAAUUCCUAGUGUAGCGGUGAAAUGCGUAGAGAUUAGGAAGAACACCAGUGGCGAAGGCGACUCUCUGGACUGUAACUGACGCUGAGGCUCGAAAGCGUGGGGAGCAAACA
RNAcentral lists this ribosomal RNA (402 nucleotides) under uncultured bacterium. Its description in RNAcentral is "bacterial SSU rRNA". It matches the Rfam family "Bacterial small subunit ribosomal RNA", at positions 355 to 774 of the family's 1533-position model. The record is from RNAcentral.